UUUUUUUGGUAAUGACUAUAGAGUUUUCUUCACAUUUCACAGAUUGAAACCCUUUACUUUGAGAAUAUGGCUAAACCUGUCCAAAGAUACUGCCCAGAGCUAUUGAUUUGCUCUCUCCAAAAGGACAUUCUUGUCAUUAAAUCAUAUUUUCCUAAAGAUGGGAUGUAGCAAACCUCAUUGACUGCAGCCUAGUGCAUAGCCAGCUCCUUGAGCACAGGAAGGGACUCUCUUCCACACUGGACACAGGUGGCUCCCUCACUUGUUUCCAGAGGUCCUCUUUAGAGCUAGCACCUGUCUCCCACAAGCCCCCGCCCCCAC
RNAcentral lists this long non-coding RNA (318 nucleotides) under Homo sapiens (human). Its description in RNAcentral is "HSALNT0016926". Lineage: Eukaryota; Metazoa; Chordata; Mammalia; Primates; Hominidae. The record is from RNAcentral.